GAUACCAAAUAAAACGGAGGGGGGGCAAUACACCAUCGUGCAGGCGUUCGUAACGCCUGAUGGUGGGCGGUUACAACCGUCCGCCUUCCCCAGUGAUCGAGGCUACAAGAAGCCCCGAUCGGCUACCAUUUCACCACCAGUUCAUCCUCCUCCUCCACUGUUUGUCUCCCUCUCUCACAACCCUCUCCGGUUGGCAGGACCUGGUGUUGAAACCGCGCCGCCGGAGCAGAAGGCCGCAUCGCCGGAGUAGGAGGCGGACGACCACUUUCAGAUCAGGUGAUUAAAGAUUUGUCACCCGGACGUAAGAAAUUGGAAAGCAUAUUGCAAUGAUAAAGACCACUAGGAGCAGGGAGCUUGAUGUUAUUCAGGGUUGGGGUAAUUGAAAAUGUUAUGUAAUAAUCAGAUUUUAGAAGCUCUGUACUGUUCCAACUUCAUGACUAAUGUUAUGACAUUAGUAAAAGAAACUAUUUAUUUUUAUUA
Non-coding RNA from Phoenix dactylifera (date palm), 480 nucleotides. The record is from RefSeq and is a predicted model, not a curated record. Lineage: Eukaryota; Viridiplantae; Streptophyta; Magnoliopsida; Arecales; Arecaceae.